GUGUCAGCAGCCGCGGUAAUACGGAGGGCGCAAGCGUUGUUCGGAAUCACUGGGCGUAAAGCGCGUGUAGGCGGCUUGGUAAGUCGGGUGUGAAAGCCCGGGGCUCAACCCCGGAACUGCAUUCGAAACUGCCUCGCUCGAGUCCCGGAGAGGGUGGUGGAAUUCCCGGUGUAGAGGUGAAAUUCGUAGAUAUCGGGAGGAACACCAGUGGCGAAGGCGGCCACCUGGACGGUGACUGACGCUGAGACGCGAAAGCGUGGGGAGCAAACAGGAUUAGAUACCCUGGUAGUCCACGCCGUAAACUUUGGGUGCUAGGCGUCGCGGGUAUUGACCCCUGCGGUGCCGCAGCUAACGCGUUAAGCACCCCGCCUGGGGAGUACGGUCGCAAGACUAAA
Molecule: ribosomal RNA, 395 nt
Filed under: uncultured bacterium
Lineage: Bacteria
Description: bacterial SSU rRNA
Rfam family: Bacterial small subunit ribosomal RNA
Source: RNAcentral